GAUGAACGCUAGCUACAGGCUUAACACAUGCAAGUCGAGGGGAAACGACAUCGAAAGCUUGCUUUCGAUGGGCGUCGACCGGCGCACGGGUGAGUAACGCGUAUCCAACCUGCCCAUCACUUGGGGAUAACCUUGCGAAAGUAAGACUAAUACCCGAUGAUAUCUCUAUAAGACAUCUGAAAGGGAUUAAAGAUUUAUCGGUGAUGGAUGGGGAUGCGUCUGAUUAGCUUGUUGGCGGGGUAACGGCCCACCAAGGCGACGAUCAGUAGGGGUUCUGAGAGGAAGGUCCCCCCACAUUGGAACUGAGACACGGUCCAAACUCCUACGGGAGGCAGCAGUGAGGAAUAUUGGUCAAUAGGCGAGAGCCUGAACCAGCCAAGUAGCGUGCAGGAAGACGGCCCUAUGGGUUGUAAACUGCUUUUAUAAGGGAAUAAAGUUAGUCCU
RNAcentral lists this ribosomal RNA (444 nucleotides) under uncultured bacterium. RNAcentral describes it as "bacterial SSU rRNA". It matches the Rfam family "Bacterial small subunit ribosomal RNA", at positions 28 to 459 of the family's 1533-position model. The record is from RNAcentral.